RNAcentral lists this transfer RNA (64 nucleotides) under Loxodonta africana (African savanna elephant). It matches the Rfam family "tRNA". Rfam says of the family: Transfer RNA (tRNA) molecules are approximately 80 nucleotides in length. Their secondary structure includes four short double-helical elements and three loops (D, anti-codon, and T loops). The record is from Rfam by way of RNAcentral. Lineage: Eukaryota; Metazoa; Chordata; Mammalia; Proboscidea; Elephantidae.
GCAGUGGUGGUUCAGUGGUAGAAUUCUGAUCUUCCACGCCAGAGACCCAGGCCUGGCCAAUGCA